Molecule: unclassified non-coding RNA, 717 nt
Filed under: Megachile rotundata (alfalfa leafcutting bee)
Lineage: Eukaryota; Metazoa; Arthropoda; Insecta; Hymenoptera; Megachilidae
Description: uncharacterized LOC105662145, transcript variant X2
Source: RNAcentral
CACCUCGAAAGCUUGUCCUACCGUUCUGACCACCCUCAUCGCUUGACUCUAACGAAAUCCAACUCUUUUUUUCAAUUGAACGUACCGGUGUUUAAUAUCGAAGACCCAGAGGCAUCCUAAGAAAAUUCUAAUAACAGAGUUUCCAAGUAUCCAAACGGAAGAUGUAUUCAAAAUAAUCAAACGUUCAGCUUCAAGCACCGAAAUCACCAUUCGAGCUCUACCAUUCUCGUUAAACGACUACAAAAUCUCAACCCUGCCACCCACGUUACCCACCCACACGAUCGUUCCAAGAAUUAUACGCGAUUUACUUGCUACAAACGAAUUAAGCGUAUUGCUCUUUCAAUUGUAAAACGCGUUUGCUACCGGCGUUACACAAGACAGGACAGAUGGUACCACUGGGUGCAGAAAAUUUUAUGGCGCAGAUUAAUGUAAUGUGGGAUAUAACAGACUUGGGAUUUAAGACUUAGGAUUUGGAUAUUGUAAGAUGAGAAAAUGAGGAUUUAUGGAUGUAGGGAUUUGGAAAUUUGGGGACUUGGAAAUUUAGGAAGAUUUGGAUUUGAGAAUUCAGGAGGAUGGAAAUUUGGAAAUUUAGAGGGCUGAGAGUAGGAGAUUUAGGGAUUUGAUGAUAGGGGAGUUGGAAGUAGAGGGUUUUGGGAAUUUGAGAAUGCAGGAGUUGGAAAUGAGGGAACUUGGGAAUUUAGAAAUUUGGGAGCUUGG